AAGGGAUUCUAAGACCAAUCUGUGCACGGCCUGAAUUGACUACAGGAAAGCAUGGUCAGCAAGACAAUGAGCCUUCAUCAAGAAGUCGAUGGGCAAGUAGAAAACAACUCUAGAAGCCAAUUUCUGGACAAUAACUCAAGUGAACAUCAAAUGUGACAUACCAAGGUGAUGCGCUAUCCCCAAUGCUGUUCUGCAUAGGCCUCAACACUCUUAGCCAGAUCAAGAAGAGGGGAUACGGAUACAGGUUCAAGAGUAGAGCUACCAUCAGCCACCUACUCU
Pelobates cultripes (western spadefoot toad) is the source of this 279-nucleotide non-coding RNA. The record is from the annotation of a GenBank genome assembly. Lineage: Eukaryota; Metazoa; Chordata; Amphibia; Anura; Pelobatidae.